CAGAGUUAUCCAACUCCCAAACCCAUGUGAACUUAUCUCUUUGUUGCCUCGGCGCGAGCUACCCGGGACCUCGCGCCCCGGGCGGCCCGCCGGCGGACAAACCAAAACUCUUGUUAUCUUAGUUGAUUAUCUGAGUGUCUUAUUUAAUAAGUCA
Molecule: unclassified non-coding RNA, 154 nt
Filed under: soil metagenome
Description: partial internal transcribed spacer 1
Source: RNAcentral